CCGAUCGAAGAAGAAUUCAUUUUCUUCUCUUCUCUUCUUCUUUCUUUUUUCCUUUUCUUCUUCUCUGUUCUUCUUCUCCUUCUCUCUGUCGAUCCGAUCUCAGAGAUUUGAGUUCUUUUGUGUGAGAGUUUCAUGGAAACCUUGUUAGUUUGUUGAUCUGGGAAAGAGGGUGAUGAUGCUGCUAUCGAUUGAGUUUUGGAAGAAACAGAAAAAGUUACUCUGUAUUAACAACGAUCGAUUCAAAGGACGAACCAGUAGAUUGUGAAUCUUGAGGUUGGCGAGGCUUGUCUUCAGAACAGUUUUUUCAGUUAUCAGAAGAGAUGGUGCUCGUGAAGAUGUUCGUUUUCUUAACUUAUAUAUUUAACGUUGAUGUGAAUCAUAUGAAUCACUAUAGGCCUGUACACUCUGUAGUAACUCAUAAAUACAUUAUUUUAUUGAUAAAACUUGAGAGAUUCGUCAUUUACAUUUGCUCGAGUGAUGGAUUUAGUUUUGGGUUGAGUUUUGUAUCAGAUUUCUAAUUUGGAAUUUAAUUAUAGAAUUUAGAUUCUUAAUGCCUCAGUAGGUAGUUGAACUCCUGGGUUAGUAAGUAGCUUAAUUUUGGGGCGCUACAAUAACCCUAGAGGAAGUUUCUGGAAACAAGGAAAGUUUUGGAACACUCCAGGAGGCAUGCAGGACCAGUCAUUACAGGAGGCAUGCAUGACCAAUUAUUACAGGAGGCAUGCAGGGCCAGUUAUUGCAGGAGGCAUGCAAGGACAGUUAUUGCAAUUCAUGCCUGCCUCG
Papaver somniferum (opium poppy) is the source of this 780-nucleotide long non-coding RNA. RefSeq lists it as uncharacterized. The transcript is spliced from 3 exons. Lineage: Eukaryota; Viridiplantae; Streptophyta; Magnoliopsida; Ranunculales; Papaveraceae. The record is from RefSeq and is a predicted model, not a curated record.